UGCGUAGGCGGGCUAAUAAGUCAGUGGUGAAAUCUCUCGGCUCAACCGGGAAACUGCCAUUGAUACUGUUAGUCUUGAGUUCGGUUGAGGUAGGCGGAAUGUGUAAUGUAGCGGUGAAAUGCUUAGAUAUUACACAGAACACCAAUUGCGUAGGCAGCUUACUAGACCGACACUGACGCUGAGGCGCGAAAGCGUGGGGAGCGAACAGGAUUAGAUACCCUGGUAGUCC
This 229-nucleotide ribosomal RNA is filed under the name uncultured bacterium. Its description in RNAcentral is "partial 16S ribosomal RNA". It matches the Rfam family "Bacterial small subunit ribosomal RNA", at positions 568 to 796 of the family's 1533-position model. The record is from RNAcentral.